AAGCACACGGAAUGUGAACUGGGU
This 24-nucleotide non-coding RNA is filed under the name Cricetulus griseus (Chinese hamster). Lineage: Eukaryota; Metazoa; Chordata; Mammalia; Rodentia; Cricetidae. The record is from RNAcentral.